CUAGUCGGUACACUUCCCGCUUACUCCUUUAGCCAUUCGUUGAGUUGAAUACGAAUGGCAAGGGAGUUUGUGCGAAGUAAGACUUG
Molecule: microRNA precursor, 86 nt
Filed under: Pristionchus pacificus
Lineage: Eukaryota; Metazoa; Nematoda; Chromadorea; Rhabditida; Neodiplogasteridae
Description: mir-2238 microRNA precursor family
Rfam family: mir-2238 microRNA precursor family
Source: Rfam by way of RNAcentral